Cucurbita moschata (crookneck pumpkin) is the source of this 2035-nucleotide RNA transcript. RefSeq lists it as uncharacterized. The transcript has 2 exons. The record is from RefSeq and is a predicted model, not a curated record. NCBI's taxonomy places the organism in Eukaryota, Viridiplantae, Streptophyta, Magnoliopsida, Cucurbitales, Cucurbitaceae.
AUAUUGAAAGUUCACCCGCAACGCCGAGUCUGAGAGAAUAUCCGUACUCUCAUUUGAUUUGCAGACGGUGGGAUGAUGAGCGCGAGAGAUGAGGAAUCAGAGAACUACGGAGAUUAUUCGGCGCUGCGCACACAUUUCCUUCGCCGUCUCUGGUAAUGCUUCUCUCAACGCUUCUUCUCUAUUUGCCUGUUCUUAGACGCAUUUGAAUUAGCCUUCUUUAGGAAUUACUGUAAGUUUCAGUCAGAUGCAAGCCAUAAGAAUUCAUCUGAUAUGGUGAUUUAGCCUGUAUAAGACUUGCGGUUAGUAUCAUUUUUCUCAGCCUCCGCAGGAGUGAAUUAGAAAAGGAAAAACGUGGUAGAAUAGGGAAAGAUCUGGUCGGAUACUAUUUUUCUAUGUUGUUCAGUGAUAUAAUGGCUGAUUUAGUGGCAAUAGUUUCAAGUUUAAGCUUAAAUUUGAACCUGAUCAUGUGAUGUGUGGAACGCCAACUUGGAUUGGCAAGGGAAUCACUUGCAUUGCAUUUGCUUCAAGCUGAACGGAAAUUAUGACCGAUUUCGUUCUACCUGACUCCUGCACAGAUUAAUCACGUCCUUUACGAACAAGACGCUUCCUCCAUAUGGAUAAUUUUCAAAUUUUCAAAUAGUUUUGGUAAUGAUUCUUGUCAUCUAUGUAUGUACUGUCUUUUUAACUUGAUGAAAAUCAUUGUAUGGCUGAUUGCCUCAGAAUAACAUUUGCAUUUAUGAUCUCAGGAAGAUAGGUUAAGAACAUUAAAGCACCGAUCAAGAACAGACCGACAAGUUUACAUAUAUUUUCAAAUUUCAUGCCUUAGUUUAGUGCUCAGACGAUUCUCAAAGCACAGAAACUUUAGUUCAUAUGUGGAGUAACUUCUAAACCAUUAAUAACGUUUGCUUCUAAUGUCACUGUACAACAAUCUUUAUGUUAUUAGUUGUAUGUGCACACCUUGCUUUUUAGGAUGCUUAUUAUGAAAUUUUCACCAAGGACAGGAUGCUCUAAGAGCUCUGUGGUAUGCAGCUUAUCCUGAUCAAGAGCGUCAGGCGUGGUAUCAGAUCAAUGGAAAGAAAUUGGAUGGCAGUGAAGAAAUCCAUCGACUGAUUUUAGGUUGUUAAUUUGCUACAUGAGUUGAGGGCUCCUUUCAUUGCUCUGAAAAGCUUUUACCUAAUCCGAAGGAUCUGGAUUUAUCUCUUUGGAGAAUUUGCUGUUCUUAAGAUCCUAAACUUCAUUUGAUACCUCUCAUAAAUUUUCAGAUUCUUUUCACCUGAAUGGGCCAACAAAUUUAUGAAAUUAAGUUCAAAACUCCCAAUAGAUGACCGAGUAUAGCAUGCUAUUACGCCUUUACUAAUCCUUGUUGCCUUUUUUAUGGUUUCAGACAUCUUUCCAACGUCUGUUAAGGAAACAAGGAAGAAAACCAGCUGCUUAGGAAUACCACUUUGCUUUUGCUGGUGUAAAUAUCACAUUUAUGAUCAUGCAAAUGCUCGAUCUAGAUGGUUGUGAGUUGAAAAUCCAUUUCUGCGUAGUGACAGUUCACCAAUGGAGCAUCAUUGCUUAAUAUUUUCUAACAAACCAAGGACUUCUAUCAGAUCAGUGUUCCUUCAGAUGUUGUCAGGUACAUAUCUAAACUUAAUCCAGGAACAUAUCAAAUAUGAAGUUGUGCAUGAAUGCAAGAAACACAAUUUUCUGAUAACAGAGAAUAAUUUCAUGUUGGAAUGCCUAAGCUACGUGAUGUUCUUUGUAUCAUUACAAAUUUAUCAGUACAGGUAGGUGAUUUAAUGUUGUGGCAUUGUUCAUGUAGAUACUAUUAUGGAUUUUAGUACUGGGAAAUAGGAUCUGAAGAAAUUAGUUUUAUAAUUGCUUCUACAUUUCACUUCCCCUAACGAUCACAAGUUCAUUCUUCAGCACAAGAAUGGACCAAUAUUUUCCUAUUGUUGAGAAGUUUGAUUCAAAUCUGAAGAUUUCUUGCUUAAUUUUCUAUGGUUAACAAUUAUUUUUUUUUGCGAACAUAAAUAUCUCAUUGGUUAAA